CGGACAACGAUGGCAAUGCU
RNAcentral lists this microRNA (20 nucleotides) under Ciona intestinalis (vase tunicate). RNAcentral describes it as "cin-miR-4037-3p". Lineage: Eukaryota; Metazoa; Chordata; Ascidiacea; Phlebobranchia; Cionidae. The record is from miRBase by way of RNAcentral.